This 253-nucleotide unclassified non-coding RNA is filed under the name uncultured Acidobacteriota bacterium. Its description in RNAcentral is "uncultured Acidobacteria bacterium contains 16S-23S intergenic spacer region". It matches the Rfam family "Bacterial small subunit ribosomal RNA", at positions 524 to 776 of the family's 1533-position model. The record is from RNAcentral. Lineage: Bacteria; Pseudomonadati; Acidobacteriota.
UACGGAGGGGGCUAGCGUUAUUCGGAAUUAUUGGGCGUAAAGGGCGCGUAGGCGGCUUGGUAAGUCAAAGGUGAAAUCCCUCGGCCCAACCGAGGAACUGCCUUUGAUACUGCCUCGCUCGAGGCCGGGAGGGGGUAGCGGAAUUCCCAGUGUAGCGGUGAAAUGCGUAGAUAUUGGGAGGAACACCGGUGGCGAAGGCGGCUACCUGGACCGGUUCUGACGCUGAUGCGCGAAAGCGUGGGGAGCAAACAGG